This 554-nucleotide ribosomal RNA is filed under the name Theristicus caudatus. RNAcentral's name for it is "partial 16S ribosomal RNA". Lineage: Eukaryota; Metazoa; Chordata; Aves; Pelecaniformes; Threskiornithidae. The record is from RNAcentral.
GCCUGUGAAAUGAAUCUAAGUUCUUCCUUAAUUCCUCUCUACGGAUAUCCACCAAGCCUUCAUGUAGAAAAUUAAGAGCAAUUUAAAGGAGGUACAGCUCCUUUAAAAAAGAAUACAAUCUUCCCUAGCGGAUAACUUUCAUCAACCCCCGCCUAUGAAUUGUGGGCCUUCAAGCAGCCACCAACAAAGAGUGCGUCAAAGCUCUACACCCAAAGAUAUAAAAACAGUAUGACUCCCUUAUCUUUAACAGGCUAACCUAUGACAAUAGGAGAGUUAAUGCUAAAAUGAGUAACUUGGGGCCUCCCCUCUCAAGCGCAAGCUUACAUUUCUACAUUAUUAACAGACCCUUCACUAAUACUACAAUUUUAACAAGAUCAGAUAUUACCACCCCUGUUAACCCAACCCAGGAGCGCUCACUAGAAAGAUUAAAAUCUGCAAAAGGAACUAGGCAAACCCAGGGCCCGACUGUUUACCAAAAACAUAGCCUUCAGCCAUCCAAGUAUUGAAGGUGAUGCCUGCCCAGUGACACUGUGUUUAACGGCCGCGGUAUCCUA